UACAGAGGGUGCAAGCGUUGUUCGGAAUUAUUGGGCGUAAAGCGCGUGUAGGCGGCGAUGCAAGUCGGGUGUGAAAGCCCUCAGCUUAACUGAGGAAGUGCGCCCGAAACUGCGUCGCUUGAGUACCGGAGAGGAUGGCGGAAUUCCCGAAGUAGAGGUGAAAUUCGUAGAUAUCGGAAGGAACAUCAGUGGCGAAGGCGACUUCCUGGACCAAUACUGACGCUCAGGUGCGAAAGCGUGGGGAGCAAACAGG
Molecule: ribosomal RNA, 253 nt
Filed under: uncultured bacterium
Lineage: Bacteria
Description: partial 16S ribosomal RNA
Rfam family: Bacterial small subunit ribosomal RNA
Source: RNAcentral